CCCCAAUGACCUGGUAUGGUGUUGCAACAGGCGUAUAGGAACAGUUCUGUAAGUGGCGCAAUAACCUUUAGAAAAGUUACCCAUGAAUUUACCAAUCCCGUCAUACAUGGCAUAACAAGUGUAAUUACCUCUAUAGACUGUGAUUCCAUCUGGUGGCUUAACAUUUUCAACUAAGAGAGGGUAUUCUGCCGUCCAUGCCAUGCAGAGGGACCUAUUAAAGUCAUAUUG
Pelobates cultripes (western spadefoot toad) is the source of this 228-nucleotide non-coding RNA. The record is from the annotation of a GenBank genome assembly. Lineage: Eukaryota; Metazoa; Chordata; Amphibia; Anura; Pelobatidae.